RNAcentral lists this long non-coding RNA (2231 nucleotides) under Brassica rapa (field mustard). Its description in RNAcentral is "long non-coding RNA (BRAP_LNC000755)". Lineage: Eukaryota; Viridiplantae; Streptophyta; Magnoliopsida; Brassicales; Brassicaceae. The record is from RNAcentral.
AAAAUUCAAUAUUUUCGUAGGGGUUAACCAAUAGAUUUUGAGAAAAAUUCAAAAAAAUAAAAAUUAUAUUUUAAUGCAUAGUUGUAUCCUUCACAAACAUAUGAUGAAGUUCAAAGAGGUUUGGAACCUUUGUUGUCUCCGUUUUUCUAGAGAAUAGCGAUUUUAUAGAGGUUAGUCAACCAAUUUAUGGAGUUUUCUGAAGUUUUACUAAAUUAAUUGACGAAAAAUUUAAACGACGCCCAUGUACCAUGAAAUUGAGUUUAAUAUACAUUAAUACAAAUUCAGAAUGUGUUUAGAAAUUUUAAAACAACACUAAAGAUCAUAUGCUUCAGUAUAUAGAUCAUUUACCGAAAAAUUCAAUAUUUUCGUAGGGGUUAACCAAUAGAUUUUGAGAAAAAUUCAAAAAAAUGAAAAUUCUAUUUUAAUGCAUAGUUGCAUCCUUCACAAACAUAUGAUGAAGGUCAAUGAGGUUUGGAACCUUUGUUGUCUCCAUUUUUCUAGAGAAUUGCGAUUUUAUAGUGGUUAGUCAACCAAUUUAUGGAGUAUUAUGAAGUUUUACUAAACUAAUUGACAAAAAAAUUAAAAGACGCCCAUGUACCAUGAAAUAGAGUUUAAUAUACAUUAAUACAAAUGCAUAAUGUGUUUAGAAAUUUAAAAACAACACUAAAGAUCAUAUGCUUCAGUAUAUAGAGCAUUUACCGAAAAUUCAAUAUUUCGUAGGGGUUAACCCAUAGAUUUUGAAAAAAAAUUAAAAAAUGAAAAUUCUAUUUUAAUGCAUAGUUGCAUCCUUCACUAACAUAUGAUGAAGGUCAAAGAGGUUUGGAACCUUUGUUUCUCCGUUUUUUCUAGAGAAUAGCGAUUUAUAGUGGUUAGUCAACCAAUUUAGGGAGUAUUAUGAAGUUUUACUAAAUUAAUUGACAAAAAUUUAAACGACGCCCAUGUACCAUGAAAUAGAGUUUAAUAUACAUUAAUACAAAUGCAAAACGUGUUUAGAAAUUUUAAAACAACACUAAAGAUCAUAUGCUUCAGUAUAUUGAGCAUUUACCAAAAAUUCAAUAUGUUCGUUGGGGUUAAUCCAUAGAUUUUGAAAAAAAAUUAAAAAAAUGAAAAUUCUAUUUUAAUGCAUAGUUGCAUCCUUCACGAACAUAUGAUGAAGGUCAAAGAGGUUUGGAACCUUUGUUGUCUCCGUUUUUCUAGAGAAUAGCGAUUUUAUAGUGGUUAGUCAACCAAUUUAGGGAGUAUUAUGAAGAUUUACUAAAUUAAUUGACAAAAAAUUUAAACGACGCCCAUGUACCAUGAAAUAGAGUUUAAUAUACCUUAAUAAAAAUGCAGAAUGUGUUUAGAAAUUUUAAAACAACACUAAAGAUCAUAUGCUUCAGUAUAUUGAGCAUUUACCGAAAAAUUCAAUAUUUUCGUAGGGGUUAACCCUUAGAUUUUGAGAAAAAAAUUUAAAAAAUGAAAAUUCUAUUUUAAUGCAUAGUUGCAUCCUUCACUAACAUAUGAUGAAGGUCAAAGAGGUUUGAAACCUUUGUUGUCUCCGUUUUUCUAGAGAAUAGCGAUUUUAUAGUGGUUAGUCAACCAAUUUAGGGAGUAUUAUGAAGUUUUACUAAAUUAAUUGACAAAAAAUUUAAACGACGCCCAUGUACCAUGAAAUAGAGUUUAAUAUACAUUAAUACAAAUGCAGAAUGUGUUUUAGAAAUUUUAAAACAACACUAAAGAUCAUAUGCUUCAGUAUAUAGAUAUCCGAAAAAAUUCAAUAUUUUCGUAGGGGUUAACCCAUAGAUUUUGAGAAAAAAUUUAAAAAAUGAAAAUUCUAUUUUAAUGCAUAGUUGCAUCCUUCACUAACAUAUGAUGAAGGUCAAAGAGGUUUGGAACCUUUGUUGUCUCCGUUUUUCUAGAGAAUAGCGAUUUUAUAGUGGUUAGUCAACCAAUUUAGGGAGUAUUAUGAAGUUUUACUAAAUUAAUUGACAAAAAAUUUAAAACGCCCAUGUACCAUGAAAUAGAGUUAAUAUACAUUAAUACAAAUGCAGAAUGUGUUUAGAAAUUUAAAACAACACUAAAGAUCAUAUGCUUCAGUAUAUAGAGCAUUUACCGAAAAAUUCAAUAUUUUCGUAGGGGUUAACCCAUAGAUUUUGAGAAAAAUUAAAAAAAUGAAAAUUCUAUUUUAAUGCAUAGUUGCAUCCUUCACUAACAUAUGAUGAAGGUCAAAGAGGUUUGAACCUUUGUUGUCU